This 427-nucleotide ribosomal RNA is filed under the name uncultured bacterium. RNAcentral describes it as "bacterial SSU rRNA". It matches the Rfam family "Bacterial small subunit ribosomal RNA", at positions 355 to 774 of the family's 1533-position model. The record is from RNAcentral.
UGGGGAAUCUUGCGCAAUGCGCGAAAGCGUGACGCAGCAACGCCGCGUGGGGGAAGACGGCCUUCGGGUUGUAAACCCCUUUCAGGAGGGACGAAGGUUCGCCGGUGAAUAGCCGUGCGGAUUGACGGUACCUCCAGAAGAAGCUCCGGCUAACUACGUGCCAGCAGCCGCGGUAAUACGUAGGGGGCAAGCGUUGUCCGGAAUCAUUGGGCGUAAAGCGCGCGUAGGCGGCCCUGUAAGUCCGCUGUGAAAGUCAAAGGCUCAACCUUUGAAAGCCGGUGGAUACUGCAGGGCUAGAGUCCGGAAGAGGCGAGUGGAAUUCCUGGUGUAGCGGUGGAAUGCGCAGAUAUCAGGAGGAACACCAAUAGCGAAGGCAGCUCGCUGGGACGGUACUGACGCUAAGGCGCGAAAGCGUGGGGAGCGAACA